UCACAGCCGUCUGGGGACUACAAAAACCUCUGUGACUGAAAACUGCUUCGUCAUCGCCUUCUUGAGUCAGUUCGCUAAUAGCUGCUGAGCAAAAACAAGAAGCUGAACUUCAAGAUAAAUCCUGAAGGAAGGAUUAAAGUGUGGAACGAUGCUGUGACUGAUCAUCUCUGGAGUGCGGCAUAUUAUUAACUGGAUAACCUCCUGUUGUUGCUCCAAUGGGAGGGAGGAGACAGCUUCAAGCUGCCAGUGUCAAGGGCAGAAAGUGUGGACGGUCAACCGUGAUGCAAAACCCUCCCAUCAGACUCUUCCAUAAUGUCUCCUACUGUAUCUACUGUUGCUAGGGCAUUCAUGUUUACAUCUGCUUCACCUAAACUCUGGGUUGUGCUGUACUUGUACUAAUGAUGACUUGUCUGAAAACUCCUGCUUAAGGAAGCUGGACGAUGUCUGACAGCUCACAAGUACACAGCACUCACUCUACAGCAACAUCCUGUCAUAUGUGGUAAAAAUGUGACUUUGUAAGCCCAAUAUUCCGACCUACAAACUGAUUAAAGAAUG
This is a long non-coding RNA of Xiphophorus maculatus (southern platyfish), 555 nucleotides long. RefSeq lists it as uncharacterized. The record is from RefSeq and is a predicted model, not a curated record. The transcript is spliced from 3 exons. NCBI's taxonomy places the organism in Eukaryota, Metazoa, Chordata, Actinopteri, Cyprinodontiformes, Poeciliidae.